AAGCUCCCUGCUCUCAGAAGAAUCUGGCACAGCACCAUCACCAACUCAGAGGAAGGGAAGCAACCUGGAGUCAGCUCCCAGGCAGUAAUGAGUGUUCAAGGGAGAUAUAACUCUAAGGAAAAGGAUUGAGGUCAUGGAAUUAGAAGAAACAGAUGGAAGAAUCAUUUGAACCAUAUCCAGGUCUUUUGAAAAUGAUGAGACAGAAGAGAAAGAGAAAAUUGCAUCAGACAGUUUUGCUGAGAAAUUGGUAUCAGAUAAAUUUUGGAGUAAGGUCAGAGACCUAAGAUAAGAAAACCCCUAGGCAGAGGUGGGGAAAAAAUAGAAAAAAGAAAAUGAAAAGAGCAAAUACAUUCUUCCUUCCUAUCUUCAACUUGCCAGAGUAGCUUUACUAAGAUGCUGCCUGAUCGUUUCUCUCCAGACACUUUUGCCAAUGAUAUUAAUACUAUAAAGGAGCAUUUCUGGACUUGAUUCAUUAAUGAUUAGAAAGCUCGUAACAGAUUAGAUGACCAGGCUACAGUCUCACCUGCCAGGCAGUGCAGCUGCAGAUCUUGGCUGACCAUCAUGUCAGCAUUUUCAACAAAUUUUAAGCUACUAUGUGCCAGUCACUGGGUCAGGAGUUGGAAAUAUGAGGAAGACCGUAGCUCUCAUAAUGAGAAUACAAGGAAGGCCAUCUCUCAAGAAAGAAACAUCAUAAAACAUGUUUACUGUCAAGUCCUUGUCAUUAUCAAAAAUAUCUUCAGAUUGAUGUCAUUCUGAGAAAAGUGAUUUCAUAUUGAAAAAAAUUCUACAAAAAUAGUAAAACUUUUCUUCUCAAUUUUCAGAACUUGGAUGAGGUUGGGGGCAGGUGUUUUCAUCUAUUUUCAUCCUUGUCCUGGUAGAAAUUAUUUGCUUGAUUAAUAUUUUGGUGGGGAAGGUCAGUCUCUAAGGCUACAGAUGAGAAGAUCAGUUACUGGAUGGGUUCCUAACUUCAAUGUCAGAUCCAAGAGCCUGAAAAUAAAGGAUGGAAAGAAAGGGAAACAAAAAUUAUCAGACAAUGUUAAGACAUUUUAUGGAGAGGAAGAAAGAGUGAGUGAGCACAGGAAAAAUCACAAAGCAGUAUAUGAAGAAAAGAAAGAGAUAACAGUUAUUAGUAAGUAAAGAGAUAAUUAAGAGAUAAUUAAGAGAUAAUCUUUUCAGUGGCACGAACACCGUAGUUUGUCACAUCACUGGUCAUUAAUGAUUUGUGAGAAGCAGUGUCUCAACUAUAUGUUUCUGUUACAUUAAUUAUACCUGAAAUAAAAUCUUUGCACACC
Molecule: long non-coding RNA, 1292 nt
Filed under: Pongo abelii (Sumatran orangutan)
Lineage: Eukaryota; Metazoa; Chordata; Mammalia; Primates; Hominidae
Description: lincRNA
Source: RNAcentral